Molecule: non-coding RNA, 25 nt
Filed under: Rattus norvegicus (Norway rat)
Lineage: Eukaryota; Metazoa; Chordata; Mammalia; Rodentia; Muridae
Source: RNAcentral
UUUCUGAUUUGACGAGGGUGUUCUG